RNAcentral lists this long non-coding RNA (204 nucleotides) under Musa acuminata (dwarf banana). Its description in RNAcentral is "long non-coding RNA (MACU_LNC000604)". The record is from RNAcentral. Lineage: Eukaryota; Viridiplantae; Streptophyta; Magnoliopsida; Zingiberales; Musaceae.
CGGAUGUUCGCCGGAAGCUCGCCGGAAGAAGCGAUUGACGCACUAGAGCAAGUUGCAGUAAAUGUCUUAAAGAAAUAUCACAGUUAGCAUGUGGAUUAAGCUAGGAAUGGGAGGUGAUCCCAAUAACUUAAUAUGGGAGCAAUUGGGCCCUAGACAAACCCAAAUUGGGCUGAAUGGAUCAGUCCAUUCGGACCCAGAUUUCCU